RNAcentral lists this ribosomal RNA (485 nucleotides) under uncultured bacterium. Its description in RNAcentral is "partial 16S ribosomal RNA". It matches the Rfam family "Bacterial small subunit ribosomal RNA", at positions 30 to 507 of the family's 1533-position model. The record is from RNAcentral.
AUUGAACGCUGGCGGCAGGCCUAACACAUGCAAGUCGAGCGGGGAAAGGUAGCUUGCUACCUGACCUAGCGGCGGACGGGUGAGUAAUGCUCAGGAAUCUGCCUAUUCUUGGGGGACAACAUCUCGAAAGGGAUGCGAAUACCGCAUACGACCAACUGUAGAAAGCAGGGGACCUUCGGGCCUUGCGCGAAUAGAUGAGCCUAAGACGGAUUAGCGAGUUGGUGGGGUAAGGGCCUACCCAGGCGACGAUCUGUAGCGGGGCUGAAUGGAUGAUCCGCCACCCUGGGACUGUGACCCGGCCCCGGCUCCUACGGGAGGCAGCCGUGGGGGAUAUUUGCCAAUGGGGGGAACCCUGAUCCAGCCAUGCCGCGUGUGUGCAGGAGGCCUUUUGGUUGUAAAGCACUUUAAGCGAGGAGGAGGCUACCGAGAUUAAUACUCUUGGCUAGUGGACGUUACUCGCAGAAUAAGCACCGGCUAACUCUGUG